GGUUAUGGCUCAGCGGUAGAACACUUGUCUCGCAUGCAUGAGGCCCUGGGUUCGAUCCUCAGCACCA
This 67-nucleotide transfer RNA is filed under the name Marmota monax (woodchuck). RNAcentral describes it as "tRNA.Ala". The record is from RNAcentral. Lineage: Eukaryota; Metazoa; Chordata; Mammalia; Rodentia; Sciuridae.